This is a long non-coding RNA of Hippopotamus amphibius kiboko, 689 nucleotides long. RefSeq lists it as uncharacterized. Lineage: Eukaryota; Metazoa; Chordata; Mammalia; Artiodactyla; Hippopotamidae. The transcript has 4 exons. The record is from RefSeq and is a predicted model, not a curated record.
CCCUGGAAGUCGGGGCCUAGCCGAGAGUUUCCUCGGACGCGACCACUGGCCCCGCGUGCAGGGAGGAGCCGGGCGGGCUAUUCAGCGCGGGGGCGCCACCACCCCAACCUCGUUAACUCUAAAGUGCACCUGGAAGAAUAAACAAGUAAUAAUGAAAGAGAAGGAAGGAAGGAAGAACGAAAGGAGGAAAGAAAGAAAAAGAAGGAAGAAAGGGCUUCUAACAAGAAGAGUAAUAAGGACUGUAGUGUCCAUCUUGCCAGCAGACUCUACUGAACCUCACCUUUACUGGAUUUUAGGAAGUAAACUACCAUUCAGAGAGGUCCAUAUGCCAAGGAACCGAGGAUGCCUCUGGCUGGUAGCCCACAAGCACAAGGAACAAACCCAGCAACAAUGACAUUAGCUUAGAAGUGUAUCCUUUCCCAGUUGAGCCUUAGAUGAGACUCCAGUCCUGGCCGAUAACUUGAUUGCAGCCUUGUGAGACCCUGAAGCAGAGGACCAAGAUGAGCCAAGCCCAGGACUCAGCUCACAGACACUUUACCGUGUCCACCUGUGAGUCGCUGCAAGAAAGAAGAAAUUAACACAUACCCUCACCAAGGCUGGUCAUUCCCGGAGAUGUUUUGCAAGAUGAAUGGCCGUUUUACUUUUUUCCCCCACUGCCUCUCCUUCUCUAUUCUACUUUUUUACUUUAC